GCUAAGAAUAUUCCGCAAUGGACGAAAGUCUGACGGAGCGACGCCGCGUGGAUGAUGAAGGCCGAAAGGUUGUAAAGUCCUUUUGCUGGGGAAGAAUAAGCGUGGGAGGGAAUGCCCGCGUGAUGACAUGAACCGGCGAAUAAGCCCCGGCUAACUACGUGCCAGCAGCCGCGGUAACACGUAGGGGGCAAGCGGUGUUCGGAAUUACUGGGCGUAAAGGGCAUGUAGGCGGCCUUGUAAGCUUGGCGUGAAAGUCCACGGCUUAACCGUGGGAUUGCGUUGAGAACUGCGAGGCUUGAGUGACGGAGAGGGAGCUAGAAUUCCUGGUGUAGGGGUGGAAUCUGUAGAGAUCAGGAAGAAUACCAAUGGCGAAGGCAAGCUCCUGGCCGAUGACUGACGCUGAGGUGCGAAAGUGUGGGGAUCAAACAGGAUUAGAAACCCCGGUAGUCC
Molecule: ribosomal RNA, 450 nt
Filed under: uncultured bacterium
Lineage: Bacteria
Description: partial 16S ribosomal RNA
Rfam family: Bacterial small subunit ribosomal RNA
Source: RNAcentral